ACUCCUACGGGAGGCAGCAGUAGGGAAUCUUCCACAAUGGGCGAAAGCCUGAUGGAGCAACGCCGCGUGAGUGAUGAAGGUUAUCGGAUCGUAAAGCUCUGAUGCCAGGGAAGAACGUCCGCGUGAGUAACUGCACUCGGAGUGACGGUACCUGAGAAGAAAGCCCCGGCUAACUACGUGCCAGCAGCCGCGGUAAUA
RNAcentral lists this ribosomal RNA (198 nucleotides) under uncultured bacterium. RNAcentral's name for it is "partial 16S ribosomal RNA". It matches the Rfam family "Bacterial small subunit ribosomal RNA", at positions 335 to 525 of the family's 1533-position model. The record is from RNAcentral.